This 72-nucleotide transfer RNA is filed under the name Staphylococcus aureus. RNAcentral's name for it is "tRNA-Glu". It matches the Rfam family "tRNA". Rfam says of the family: Transfer RNA (tRNA) molecules are approximately 80 nucleotides in length. Their secondary structure includes four short double-helical elements and three loops (D, anti-codon, and T loops). Further hydrogen bonds mediate the characteristic L-shaped molecular structure. tRNAs have two regions of fundamental functional importance: the anti-codon, which is responsible for specific mRNA codon recognition, and the 3' end, to which the tRNAs corresponding amino acid is attached (by aminoacyl-tRNA synthetases). tRNAs cope with the degeneracy of the genetic code in two manners: having more than one tRNA (with a specific anti-codon) for a particular amino acid; and 'wobble' base-pairing, i.e. permitting non-standard base-pairing at the 3rd anti-codon position. Lineage: Bacteria; Bacillati; Bacillota; Bacilli; Caryophanales; Staphylococcaceae. The record is from RNAcentral.
GGCUCCUUGGUCAAGCGGUUAAGACACCGCCCUUUCACGGCGGUAACACGGGUCCGAGUCCCGUAGGAGUCA